Molecule: long non-coding RNA, 322 nt
Organism: Zophobas morio
Lineage: Eukaryota; Metazoa; Arthropoda; Insecta; Coleoptera; Tenebrionidae
Exons: 3
Source: RefSeq, a predicted model, not a curated record
GUUAUAUGUUAUACCUGCUACAAUCGCAAUAGGCUAUUAAUAGGUGACUUGUUUGGUGAAUGGUCAAAUUUGUUUAACCAGUCUGGCGUUUAUCAUCAUAAAUUUAGUUUGCCCAGUUUAAGAGGCAAGGUUUAUUGUAACCUUGAAUAGUCAAUUUAUCGAAAGGUAUUAUAAUUAUGGAUCCAGUUUAUCUUUUGAAAACGUCAGUCACCUGUUCUGCUAGUCUUUAUCAGGUCGUGUUUACAGAAGGUGUCUUAUUGUUACUGGGCAGAGAUAAGUUUCAGAGUUAGAAUAUAGAAGUGAAGAUUGACUAUUAUACUUA